AUUGAACGCUGGCGGCAUGCCUUACACAUGCAAGUCGAACGGCAGCACGGGAGCAAUCCUGGUGGCGAGUGGCGAACGGGUGAGUAAUGUAUCGGAACGUGCCCAGUCGUGGGGGAUAACGUAGCGAAAGUUACGCUAAUACCGCAUACGAUCUAUGGAUGAAAGCGGGGGAUCGCAAGACCUCGCGCGAUUGGAGCGGCCGAUAUCAGAUUAGGUAGUUGGUGGGGUAAAGGCCCACCAAGCCGACGAUCUGUAGCUGGUCUGAGAGGACGACCAGCCACACUGGGACUGAGACACGGCCCAGACUCCUACGGGAGGCAGCAGUGGGGAAUUUUGGACAAUGGGCGAAAGCCUGAUCCUGCCAUGCCGCGUGCAGGAUGAAGGCCUUCGGGUUGUAAACUGCUUUUGUACGGAACGAAAAGGACUGCCCUAAUACGGUGGUCCCAUGACGGUACCGUAAGAAUAAGCACCGGCUAACUACGCGCCAGCCGCCGCAGUAA
This 500-nucleotide ribosomal RNA is filed under the name uncultured bacterium. RNAcentral describes it as "partial 16S ribosomal RNA". It matches the Rfam family "Bacterial small subunit ribosomal RNA", at positions 30 to 523 of the family's 1533-position model. The record is from RNAcentral.